RNAcentral lists this long non-coding RNA (533 nucleotides) under Eucalyptus grandis. RNAcentral's name for it is "long non-coding RNA (EGRA_LNC007761)". The record is from RNAcentral. Lineage: Eukaryota; Viridiplantae; Streptophyta; Magnoliopsida; Myrtales; Myrtaceae.
GGCUGAAGGGGAUAUCACCCAACUGCGUGACUGGGAAGCUCAUACCCUAUCACUAGAUUAAAAGCCACUUAUCGGUCAAGGAUCAUGGCCUGAAAAAUAAUACGAGAAAAAGGAGAAAAGGAUAUACGUAUGGAAUAACUUGGUCCUAUGAGAUAUGCCGGAUUCAUAUGAUCUGAUGCAGAGAUGAUUGGACUUGAUUUGUAAGGGUACUGGGGUGGUGUUGCUGUAUGUACUUUAAAAUGUAUAUUUAGAAUAAUCAUGAGGACACUUUCGAGCACAUUGCUUUUUUCACAGAGCAAAGCAAAUAGGGAUAUCUCUGAGGCCGAUUGGUUUGGAAAGGGUGUGAUUCAGCAAUUACUCUUAGAGGGCGAACUCUGGUUGUUAGUGUCACGCCCUGACCCCCCGAGCGUGUGCCCAUCCUGGCUUGGUCGAUUAAAUAGUGAUGUACGCAUAGCUGAUCUAUUCAUUUUAAUACGCAUGCGGAAGUGAUUAAUUAAUCUCUAGACAGCAAGAAGAUGGGAUAGAUUAGUAAG